GUGGGGAAUUUUGGACAAUGGGCGAAAGCCUGAUCCAGCAAUGCCGCGUGCAGGAAGAAGGCCUUCGGGUUGUAAACUGCUUUUGUACGGAACGAAAAGGCCAGCCCUAAUACGGCAGGCCCAUGACGGUACCGUAAGAAUAAGCACCGGCUAACUACGUGCCAGCAGCCGCGGUAAUACGUAGGGUGCGAGCGUUAAUCGGAAUUACUGGGCGUAAAGCGUGCGCAGGCGGUGAUGUAAGACAGUUGUGAAAUCCCCGGGCUCAACCUGGGAAUUGCAUCUGUGACUGCAUCGCUAGAGUACGGUAGAGGGGGAUGGAAUUCCGCGUGUAGCAGUGAAAUGCGUAGAUAUGCGGAGGAACACCGAUGGCGAAGGCAAUCCCCUGGACCUGUACUGACGCUCAUGCACGAAAGCGUGGGGAGCAAACAGGAUUAGAUACCCCAGUAGUCC
RNAcentral lists this ribosomal RNA (450 nucleotides) under uncultured bacterium. Its description in RNAcentral is "bacterial SSU rRNA". It matches the Rfam family "Bacterial small subunit ribosomal RNA", at positions 354 to 796 of the family's 1533-position model. The record is from RNAcentral.